RNAcentral lists this transfer RNA (73 nucleotides) under Candidatus Paralactobacillus gallistercoris. Its description in RNAcentral is "tRNA-Thr". It matches the Rfam family "tRNA". Rfam says of the family: Transfer RNA (tRNA) molecules are approximately 80 nucleotides in length. The record is from RNAcentral. Lineage: Bacteria; Bacillati; Bacillota; Bacilli; Lactobacillales; Lactobacillaceae.
GCUGACUUAGCUCAGUUGGUAGAGCAUCUGUCUUGUAAACAGAGGGUCGAAGGUUCGAAUCCUUUAGUCAGCA